UAAUACGUAGGCAGCAAGCGUUGUUCGGAGUUACUGGGCGUAAAGGGUGUGUAGGCGGCUUUCUAAGUUUGGUGUGAAAUCUCCCGGCUCAACCGGGAGGGUGCGCCGAAGACUGGGAGGCUAGAGUAUGGGAUGGGAGAGUGGAAUUCCUGGUGUAGCGGUGAAAUGCGUAGAUAUCAGGAGGAACACCUGCGGUGUAGACGGCUCUCUGGACCAUUACUGACGCUGAGACACGAAAGCGUGGGUAGCAAACAGGAUUAGAUACCCUGGUAGUCCACGCCCUAAACGAUGCAUAUUUGGUGUGGGCCAUUCAUUUGGUCUGUGCCGGAGCUAACGCGUUAAAUAUGCCGCCUGGGGAGUACAGUCGCAAGGCUG
Molecule: ribosomal RNA, 375 nt
Filed under: uncultured bacterium
Lineage: Bacteria
Description: bacterial SSU rRNA
Rfam family: Bacterial small subunit ribosomal RNA
Source: RNAcentral